AUGAACGCUGGCGGCGUGCCUAAUACAUGCAAGUCGAGCGAACAGAUAAGGAGCUUGCUCCUUUGACGUUAGCGGCGGACGGGUGAGUAACACGUGGGUAACCUACCUAUAAGACUGGGAUAACUUCGGGAAACCGGCGCUAAUUCCGGAUAACAUUUGGAACCGCAUGGUUCUAAAGUGAAAGAUGGUUUUGCUCUCACUUAUAGAUGGAUCCGCGCCGUAUUAGCUAGUUGGUAAGGUAACGGCUUACCAAGGCAACGAUACGUAGCCGACCUGAGAGGGUGAUCGGCCACACUGGAACUGAGACACGGUCCAGACUCCUACGGGAGGCAGCAGUAGGGAAUCUUCGGCAAAGGGCGAAAGCCUGACGGAGCAACGCCGCGUGAGUGGUGAAGGGUUUCGGCUCGUAAAACUCUGUUAUUAGGGAAGAACAAACGUGUAAGUAACUGUGCACGUCUUGACGGUACCUAAUCAGAAAGCCACGGCUAACUACGUG
RNAcentral lists this ribosomal RNA (496 nucleotides) under uncultured bacterium. Its description in RNAcentral is "partial 16S ribosomal RNA". It matches the Rfam family "Bacterial small subunit ribosomal RNA", at positions 29 to 507 of the family's 1533-position model. The record is from RNAcentral.